AGCGGCAGCGCGGGGCAACCUGGCGGCGAGCGGCGAACGGGUGAGUAACAUAUCGGAACGUAUCCUUGAGUGGGGGACAACUAGUCGAAAGACUAGCUAAUACCGCAUACGCUCGAGAGAGGAAAGUGGGGGACCGCAAGGCCUCACGCUGAAGGAGCGGCCGAUAUCAGAUUAGCUAGAUGGUGAGGUAAAGGCUUACCAUGGCGACGAUCUGUAGCUGGUCUGAGAGGAUGAUCAGCCACACUGGAACUGAGA
Molecule: ribosomal RNA, 255 nt
Filed under: uncultured beta proteobacterium
Lineage: Bacteria; Pseudomonadati; Pseudomonadota; Betaproteobacteria
Description: partial 16S ribosomal RNA
Rfam family: Bacterial small subunit ribosomal RNA
Source: RNAcentral